GUGCCAGCAGCCGCGGUAAUACGUAGGUGGCAAGCGUUGUCCGGAUUUAUUGGGCGUAAAGCGAGCGCAGGCGGUUUCUUAAGUCUGAUGUGAAAGCCUUCGGCUCAACCGAAGAAGUGCAUCGGAAACUGGGAAACUUGAGUGCAGAAGAGGACAGUGGAACUCCAUGUGUAGCGGUGAAAUGCGUAGAUAUAUGGAAGAACACCAGUGGCGAAGGCGGCUGCCUGGUCUGUAACUGACGCUGAGGCUCGAAAGCAUGGGUAGCAAACAGGAUUAGAUACCCUGGUAGUCCAUGCCGUAAACGAUGAGUGCUAGGUGUUGGAGGGUUUCCGCCCUUCAGUGCCGCAGCUAACGCAUUAAGCACUCCGCCUGGGGAGUACGACCGCAAGGUUGAAACUCAAAGGAAUUGACGGGGGCCCGCACAAGCGGUGGAGCAUGUGGUUUAAUUCGAAGCAACGCGAAGAACCUUACCAGGUCUUGACAUCCUUUGACCACUCUAGAGAUAGAGCUUUCCCUUCGGGGACAAAGUGACAGGUGGUGCAUGGUUGUCGUCAGCUCGUGUCGUGAGAUGUUGGGUUAAGUCCCGCAACGAGCGCAACCCUUAUUACUAGUUGCCAGCAUUUAGUUGGGCACUCUAGUGAGACUGCCGGUGACAAACCGGAGGAAGGUGGGGACGACGUCAAAUCAUCAUGCCCCUUAUGACCUGGGCUACACACGUGCUACAAUGGAUGGUACAACGAGUUGCGAGACCGCGAGGUUUAGCUAAUCUCUUAAAACCAUUCUCAGUUCGGAUUGUAGGCUGCAACUCGCCUACAUGAAGCCGGAAUCGCUAGUAAUCGCGGAUCAGCAUGCCGCGGUGAAUACGUUCCCGGGCCUUGUACACACCGCCCGU
Molecule: ribosomal RNA, 892 nt
Filed under: uncultured bacterium
Lineage: Bacteria
Description: bacterial SSU rRNA
Rfam family: Bacterial small subunit ribosomal RNA
Source: RNAcentral